This 444-nucleotide long non-coding RNA is filed under the name Sorghum bicolor (sorghum). RNAcentral's name for it is "long non-coding RNA (SBIC_LNC000603)". The record is from RNAcentral. Lineage: Eukaryota; Viridiplantae; Streptophyta; Magnoliopsida; Poales; Poaceae.
GGGAAUUUCAAUGACCAUGAGUAUCCAGUGAAAGCUGUUUACAUAUAUAUAUAUAUAUAUAGUCAGACCUAUAUAUAACUAUAUAAAACUCGUCUCGAGUAAUAAUAAGUAAAAUAAAAUGUGCAUGCACUUAAUAACUAUAUAACUCACUCGAAGUUGAAGGGGAAGAGUAUUUUUUUGUUUUUCUUUUUGGUUCACAAAGAACCUCAUAAGAUUGGUGCAGACUUCUAUCUCAUGAGAUGUUGUCCACACUGCUUGCCGAGCCUUGAAAACAAUAUAAGGGUCAACGAACCCAAUACUAUUGUCAUUUCUCAUUCUGAGCUCUCUCAUUUGGUGCCUGCAUAUAUACAUACAAAUCCUAAGUGUGUAAGGAUUAUAUACAUAUAAUUAAAGAAGGUAGAAGUUUAAUAAAAAGAAAGAAAUACUUACAGACAAAAGCAGCUG